Chrysemys picta bellii (western painted turtle) is the source of this 642-nucleotide long non-coding RNA. RefSeq lists it as uncharacterized. Lineage: Eukaryota; Metazoa; Chordata; Testudines; Emydidae. The record is from RefSeq and is a predicted model, not a curated record.
CGCGGCUGCUUAAAGGGGCCGCGACGCCCGGCCAGAGCCCAAGGGGCCCCGAGCCUCGCGUCCCCCCUCCCCCCCGAUCCACGCGCAGCGCAGCGCGGGGCAGCCCUUCCCUUCGGACGGGCGGACAGACGGAUCCAGGGGCCGGCCCAGGCAGGGAUGCCUUAGCAGACACGCUGAAAGGGCUAGCCUCGCUGGACCACCACUCUGCCUGCAGAAGUCCCAGCUCCAGGGGUGCCAGGCAUAGACUGCAGAACUCAACACCGAUGAAUCCACUCAUAGAUCAUUCCAAAUGCAGCUGGACAGUCAGUACAGAGGCCAAGACUCCUCUGGCUGGGAUACAGCAUCCAGUCAGUCCCCUGGGAUCAUCAGCCAAUAAGGAGGGCCUCACAGACCAUCAAGACUUUGGCCUGACCUACAAACUCAUGAUUCUCUGAAGGGGAGCCAGGACACUCCAGAACCAGUCAGUGGAUACACAAGUUGAGCGCCCUAGGAAAUGCUGCAUCCAGGAUCAAGUAUCUCCAGGUUGGUCAUGGGCAGGAGGUCACAUCCUACUUCUUGAUCAUUACUGUAUUCCUUACAGGGAGGUGCUCAGCUAUCUUCUGUAAACCUUAACCUUUACUUAACCAAACCAAAAACUAUAAA